Molecule: ribosomal RNA, 153 nt
Filed under: Rectipilus sp.
Lineage: Eukaryota; Fungi; Basidiomycota; Agaricomycetes; Agaricales; Porotheleaceae
Description: partial large subunit ribosomal RNA
Source: RNAcentral
CUAUUGGAUAAGAGUUAAAGGGAUGUGGCUCCUUUAGGAGUGUUAUAACCUUUAGCUGUAUACAGUGGUUGGGACUGAGGCUCUCAGCACGCCUUUAUGGCUGGGUUUCGACCACAUACGUGCUUAGGAUGUUGGCAUAAUAGCUUUAAGCGA